UAUGAAGCCUAGCGAUUAUAAAGUUAGUGGCGGACGGGUGAGUAACGCGUGAAUAACCUGCCCUGUACCGGGGGACAACAGUUGGAAACGACUGCUAAUACCGCAUAAGCGCACAGCUUCGCAUGAAGCAGUGUGAAAAACUCCGGUGGUACAAGAUGGACCCGCGUCUGAUUAGCUGGUUGGUGAGGUAACGGCCUACCAAGUCGACGAUCAGUAGCCGGACUGAGAGGAUGAACGGCCACACUGGAACUGAGACACGGUCCAGACUCC
RNAcentral lists this ribosomal RNA (270 nucleotides) under uncultured Eubacteriales bacterium. RNAcentral's name for it is "uncultured Clostridiales bacterium partial 16S ribosomal RNA". It matches the Rfam family "Bacterial small subunit ribosomal RNA", at positions 59 to 339 of the family's 1533-position model. Lineage: Bacteria; Bacillati; Bacillota; Clostridia; Eubacteriales. The record is from RNAcentral.